ACAUAUUAAGAAGUCGAAUUG
This 21-nucleotide microRNA is filed under the name Gossypium raimondii (Peruvian cotton). Its description in RNAcentral is "gra-miR8643a". Lineage: Eukaryota; Viridiplantae; Streptophyta; Magnoliopsida; Malvales; Malvaceae. The record is from miRBase by way of RNAcentral.